UACGUAGGGGGCUAGCGUUAUCCGGAUUUAUUGGGCGUAAAGAGCGUGUAGGCGGCCAGGUAGGUCCGUUGUGAAAACUCGAGGCUCAACCUCGAGACGUCGGCGGAAACCCUCUGGCUAGAGUCCGGAAGAGGAGAGUGGAAUUCCUGGUGUAGCGGUGAAAUGCGCAGAUAUCAGGAAGAACACCCGUGGCGAAGGCGGCUCUCUGGGACGGUACUGACGCUGAGACGCGAAAGCGUGGGGAGCAAACAGG
This 253-nucleotide ribosomal RNA is filed under the name uncultured bacterium. RNAcentral's name for it is "partial 16S ribosomal RNA". It matches the Rfam family "Bacterial small subunit ribosomal RNA", at positions 524 to 776 of the family's 1533-position model. The record is from RNAcentral.